CAAGAGAGGCGCCCGGCAACACAGCAGCGACGCAUCAUAUAUACCCCGGCAGAGCCCUCGGCACUCGGGCCAUGUCAUCGUACUAUCGUGGCGGCAGCACUCGUGGCCGUGGACACUACCGAGGUGGUGGCGAAGACGGUUUUCGUCGCGGUCGUGGAAGCUACGCAGAUGCCGUGUCCGACGGCAACAUGAACCGCAACGAGGAGCAGCAGCGAGGUGAACGAUACCGGUCCCACUCCUCUGGCGACGACGAAACCGAGAGGGGAAGCGGAGGCUUUGAAAGCAAUUCGCAGUGCCAUGCGGGUCCGCCCCUUCCCCUCGUCGCCCUCGAGUCUUUUCUUCGAGAUGUGGACGGCAGCAACUACAGUCAGCUGAAGCAGCUCACCGGUCGCACGUACAGCCUCACACGACAGAUGAGACCAGACCCUGCGUCGGUGUCGAUCCGAUUUGUGCGCAUCCAACCAGAUCCGUUUGCCCCCGGCAGUCAGGUGUGCGUGAGCGUGCCAGCGCCCUUUGCCACGCACACCCUGCUGCACUCGGCGCACUCCACACCGCCCGGGGUCACUGCCGCAGCCCUCGGCAAUCCUCUCCCACCGGAGGAUGUCGCGUGUCGCCGCGUCGCGGCCGAGGACUUUAUUCUUCGCUGCGUUAAAGGUGGGUUUUCGGCUGGCCCAAACACCAGUGGUGCGGUGCAGAUAAUCCACCAAUCGCAACACGUAAUCGCCCGCAGCGCCGUGCAGCUGCUGGGCGCGAGCGAGGCAAAUGACAGCGAUGGCGCGUCGGAUGGUUGGAUUCAUGUGUACUUCCGUGUGAAGCUGCCCGGCCACGGUCGGCGCAUCGACAGUCAACGCAUUCGACAAAUUCUUUUUUCAGAGGUGCUUCCAGUCUUCCAGGAGAACGUGCUGCGCUGCGACCACCGUGCUCUGUGGGCACAUGUCACGUGCGUGCAUGACCAGGAGUGGCUGCGCGCGCAGCUGCGAGAGUGGGGAUUCGCGGCCUUCAUUGCCGAUGGUGCCAUACUGCCACGUGCGGCAGGCAACUCCGACAAGCCGCUGAGUGGCCCCAGCGUUGUCGCCUUCUCGUCCCCGGCCACCCUGCAGCACACAUUUCAGCUGCCGUACUCGGGCCGCGCUAUCAGCGGCGCUGGUCUGCCGCACGGUCUCACCCUCAUCGCCGGCGGCGGCUUUCAUGGCAAGUCAACGCUCUUGCGUGCGCUGGAGCUCGGCGUGUACAACCACGUCCCUGAUGAUGGUCGAACCUUUGUCGUGGUGGACCCGACAGCGGUCAAAAUUCGUGCCGAGGACCGCCGCGCGGUGCACGGCACCGACAUAUCGCCUUUCAUCACAAACCUUCCUUACCGCGACAAUACGACUGCCUUUGUCACCGCCGACGCGAGUGGGAGCACCAGCCAGGCCGCCAACAUAAUGGAGGCUCUGGAGCUUGGCUCGACGACGUUGUUGCUCGACGAGGACACGUCGGCGGCGAACUUCAUGUACCGCGAUCCGCUCAUGGAGCAGCUCGUCCCGCGCACGCAGGAGCCGAUCACCUGCUUUGUGCACCGCGCGCGUGACCUCAUGUAUCAUCACGGUGUUUCCGUAAUAAUGGUUGUGGGAGGGUCGGGGCAGUACUUUCCCAUGGCGGAUGUCGUCCUGCUGUUGAACGCGUACAAGGUGACGGACGCCACGGCGCGAGCCAAGGCGAUUGCAGCGCAGAGCGUCGGCGGCGGCGGUGUUGGGCUUGUGGAGUCGGCAGCGCCGCCAGCAACGUCCGCGUUUUGCCUCCCUCCUCGGCGAAGCUUUGUGUACGCCGACACCUUCGGCAGGCUUGGACGGCAAAGCCAGCAGCAGCAGCACCACCACGGCUACGGCGGAAAUGGGCGAGGCAUCAAGAUCAGCGGCUCUGGCAUUGAUCACAUACGCAUAGCCGACGAGGACAUCAACGUGACGCUGUUGGAGCAGCUGGUGGAAGAGGGGCAGCUGAAUGCCAUCGCGCAGUGCCUCGCGAUGCUGUACGAUAGCGGCAGCGCGGCUGCAGCGGAAUGGCAACGGGAGGAGGCACCUCGUUCGAAAUACCCGCCAUCGCUGCUGAAAGCCCUGUCUGUCGAUGCUGCCGCAGCUGCCGGUGCACCAGCGUCAAACCUCUCCGACUUUGGUCGCCUCGUGUACAACUGCGAAGGUCGAUUACGUCAAGCGCGGCUGGAGCUGCAGACGGCAUCGUGCUACCUGCCAUUCGGAUUCACCGCCUUGCCACGCGUUUUUGAGAUCGGAGCGGCGCUGAACCGCCUGCGCACCCUUGUCACCAGCUGCAAGUGAGGAAGAUGGGCGGGCAGAGGCAGAGUCGUGCGGUUUCCCUGAUUGUUCCAUGGGCGUCUCUGGAAGGAUUUAGCUGUGUAUAGAGGUGUGUGUGUGUGUUUGUCUGUUGAUCGAUAUAUAGGGUAUUGUGAGCUGACGAGUAGAGUAGGAGAGCGGCAAUGGGAGCAUGAUCAAGAGUAUAGGUUGAUGGUCGCUGUCGUUGUGUCGCUGCAGCCGCCACCCCCACACAACCCUUGAGGAGGUCCCUCACCUCCGUCCCACCCACCCCUCGCCGCCAUGGUGUUAAAGAUCACGCAGAAGUUUCCAUCCCCUGUCUUCGCCUUCAUAAAGAUCCUCGCAAGAGAAAUGUGCACGCCCGAAAAUGUGCUGGUCGGUGUCGGUGCGCGCGCUCAGGCUGGACAUCAGCGGAUGGCUAUGAGAGAACGGAACCCCCACGAAGCGGUACAUUGUAC
Molecule: unclassified non-coding RNA, 2764 nt
Filed under: Leishmania donovani
Lineage: Eukaryota; Euglenozoa; Kinetoplastea; Trypanosomatida; Trypanosomatidae
Description: gene:LdHU3.25.1980(CDS-product:mitochondrial_RNA_ binding_complex_1_subunit_putative)
Source: RNAcentral